This 253-nucleotide ribosomal RNA is filed under the name uncultured bacterium. Its description in RNAcentral is "partial 16S ribosomal RNA". It matches the Rfam family "Bacterial small subunit ribosomal RNA", at positions 524 to 776 of the family's 1533-position model. The record is from RNAcentral.
UACGGGGGGGGCAAGCGUUGUUCGGAAUUACUGGGCGUAAAGGGCUCGUAGGCGGCCAACUAAGUCGGACGUGAAAUCCCCAGGCUCAACCUGGGAACUGCAUCCGAUACUGGAUGGCUUAAAUUCGGGAGAGGGAUGCAGAAUUCCAGGUGUAGCGGUGAAAUGCGUAGAUAUCUGGAGGAAUACCGGUGGCGAAGGCGGCAUCCUGGACCGACAUUGACGCUGAGGAGCGAAAGCCAGGGGAGCAAACGGG